CUUUGCUCUUCCAUUCCAGGUGAAUUGACUGUGUGAUGCAGGUAACAAUGCAGUGUCAAAUCUGGGCCAGGACUUUUGGGAAGACAAGUGCAUGACUGCCUUUCAGCUGAGAACAAUGGAAAAGCUGCUCCUGAUUUGCAUUUGGAAAGGGUCCUUCCACCAGAAUAGUUUUGCCCUGUGAAAUGAGCCUGUUUUCUUUGGAGAAGAAUGAAGAAGGAAAGCCUCAAAUACAUGGAUAUAAUUGUCUUCAUUAAAAGCUGGCUGAAAAGACUUUAUCCUGUGGGGUCUACUUUCUGUCUCUCUGAGCCUGAAUCUGCAAUUCAAAGCAAUGGGAUCAAGAGAACUGGAAGGGAGAGGUUUCUGUGCUUACAUCACCACCCGACUGCAAUUCCACUAAAGACCUCAGCAAAGCAGAGCUGUUGGCUCCUAAGGACUGAGUAUGGCAUAUCCCUGGCAUCACCUGAUUGCACAGUGGCAUUUUAGGAUUUCCCAGGUAAAAAUAUCUAUGUUUGAGACUUA
Molecule: long non-coding RNA, 519 nt
Filed under: Taeniopygia guttata (zebra finch)
Lineage: Eukaryota; Metazoa; Chordata; Aves; Passeriformes; Estrildidae
Description: lncRNA (ENSTGUG00000019869.1)
Source: RNAcentral